Molecule: long non-coding RNA, 12099 nt
Filed under: Coffea arabica (coffee)
Lineage: Eukaryota; Viridiplantae; Streptophyta; Magnoliopsida; Gentianales; Rubiaceae
Description: long non-coding RNA (CARA_LNC003654)
Source: RNAcentral
UUCUUAUCCAGCUGAGGUCAAUGGGAUGCGAUACUCAAUGCACUGGGUUUCUGAAGCUCACCGGAACUCAUGGCAUGUUCUGCUUGAUGCGACAGCCCUCGUGGUAGGACAAGACAAGCUAAAUCUUGCACUUCACAGGCCUGAUUUUGUUCUUUGCAGCCUUGAGAAUGGUCAUGCCAACCCUUCAAAAAUCACCUGCCUGCUUGUCAGGAGAAAAUCGUUUGAUGUGUCCAUAGCUCCAGCUCAAGCAUUCAAAUAAUAGUAUUUGCUAGAACAGAAGAACCGUUAAAAAAGUUGUGCAAUGCUGUAACAUAUUUACUUCAAGACAAACUUUUCCUGUUUAUAUAUGCUUAACUAAUCUGUCGAGCUUACAGGAAAAAUCUUCAAAUUCAGCAUCCAUGGUACACAACAGUUACCAGAAAUUGUUGGCUUAUUUUCAUAACUAAAUGUUAUGAAAUUUCUCGUGUAAUUGUCAAGGAAACCACAAGAUGGAAAAGGGAGAAAUGCAGAAGAAUUUUACAAUGACUGACUUUUCUGUUCUGCUAACCCCUUUGUUUGCCUCUAUUGUUUGAUCAGGGAUCAACUGAAUUUCCCAAUGUCGCAACUAAAGCUAGUUAAGAUGAAAUUUGGAGUACUUUUCAAUAAUUUUCGUCAGUUAUUGCUAAGAACUUAUAAACAAAGUUUUAUUCAAUCUUAAGCUACAUAAGUUUAAUUAGUUUCAAAACUAGGAUUUUCAUUUUGGCUUCUUACCUUCUAUACAUAUAUACUAUUUUACUUCAAAAAAAAGGUGAGGAGUGCUUGACCAGUGGAAUAAUAAUUCAUUUUUUAUGUUUCUUAUUUUUAUGUAGUAGUUCUUUUUCAUUCUAAGAACAAGAGGUGGUGAAGAUGGAAAUUCUCAAUUAACAGUAAAGUAUUUAGGAACAGUCUGCAGUUGUUAGAGAGUUACUUAACUACAAGAGUAUUGCUGCACAUUUCCAACCUCACAGAUCAAGAUACCUUCUCAAAUUGUUGAAAAAUAGGAAUUCAAUCCCUUUUGGUAAAAACAAAUCCUUCGCCUGGUGGAAAUGCUAAUCAAGUUUCUUGAAUCCUUCGUGAACGCUUCUCUUGUUUGUUGUGGGAUAAGCCAACUGAGGAUUGACUGCGGUUGAGUGAUAAUAAACAGGAAAGGUUAUUGAACGACGAACACAUUUAUCUAGAUGCAUCAUGCUGAAUUCUAAAGCAUAAUUGAUUCUAUAAAUUCAUGACCACAAUAUUUUUUUUCCAUGCUCCUCUAUGAAGACAGUCAUGUAAGUAAGACAAGCACUCUCAUUCAACAUGCUACCGACAGGCUACUGCGGAAGUUAAAGAAUGUAAAUUCUGACAUACCAGCUAUUAGAAGUUUAUGACUGCUAAAAUGCUAAAACUACAAACCUACAAGUAGAAAAAGGACAAGAUCAUGAGAAGAAAAGAAAGCUCCAGAAUAGAGUAAAUGAUGACUUUGUUCUGUUCUUCAAUUAUAUGUCAAGCCGUAACAGAAAAAGAAUUCACGUCAGAACCUGAGGCCACAGCAGACAACUAUUGCUAGCAAAUGACCAUCUGGAUAGGUCUACAUCAGGCAUGCAGUGAUUUCACAAUGUUGAAAGCCAUAUCUUUAAACAUGUAAGUUAUAUAUAUUCAAAAACGAUGCCUUUGUCUCAUUUGUUAGAUUAGAGUUCAACUAUAUUUCCCAUUAUAGCAAUUAAGAAUUAGAAAGAUAAAAGCAGCUAAGAAAUGAGAUUAAUUUUUUUAAACCUUCCAAGAUCUAGGAAUUUCAUUUUGGCUUCUUACUUUCUGUAGAGUAUUCUUUUCUUUACUCGAUAUAAAAGGUAAGGAAUUCUUUGUCAGAGCAUGACUAUUCCCUUUUCUGAUGUUUCUCGUAUUCAUACUGUAGUUUUCUUUUAUUGUAAGAAAGAGGGGUGGUGAAUAUGGACAUGCUGAUCUGAGCACAUGAGAAUACGUUAAGGAACAGUGCAGAGUUAAGGUGCAAAGCUUUGUAACUACAAGGUAUUGUCGCAGAUUACCAUCCUCACUGAUCAAACUGUUGGAGUCUAGGAGCUCAAAUCCUCGUCUAUAACCAAUUCCUUCAUCUAUCUUGCUUGUUGCAUCCUUCAAGAUUGUUUCCCUUGUUAGUUGAGGGCUAAGCCAAAUGAUCAUUGACUGAAGAAAAUUAGGAGGAAUGGUUAUUGAAGGGUGAACACUGAUUAGCCUAAGAUGCAUCUUACUGGAUUCCGAAGUAUAAUAUUUGAAUAAAACAGCACAAGGAUACCUUGUUUCACACUUACUUGUCAAGACUCAAGGCAAUCAUAUAAGAACAGGAAAGUAUUUAACACGCUGUUGACAAGAAGAAAAGAGAGCUCCAGAGUACAGAAAAUUACAGGCUUAUAUAUAUGGUUGUACAAUACUAUGUUGAUCCAUAAAAGAAAAAGAAAACAUGCUAGCAAAGGACCAUCUGAAUAGUUCCACAUCAGCCAUGCUGUAUGUUUGAUGAAAUAGGACACCUUAGAACAUGUAAAUAUGUAGAUAUUCAAAAACAAUGUCUAAAAUAAAAAAAGAUGAUAAUUCUUGGAUUCCACAUGAUCGUUUCUCUUGCCUGUAGAGGGCUAAACGCAAAUGAAGAACAGGGAGAAAUUUCCUUACCUAUGUCAUACCUGUUUGAUAACCUAAUUUAGCACUUAAAUUUAAUGGAUUUCUUAAUAUAUUCAGAUCAUUUGAUAAUAAAAAAUUGAACAUCUGAAUUAAUUAACUGGCAUUGAAUUUCCUAGACAAAACUUGCUUCCAAAAUUAAGUGAUAAACUAUUUACUUAUUACUGAAUAUGAUAUGUAUUCAAAUGUAUUAGAUUUAAUACUUAACAAUUCAAUAACUUAAUAGAUGUAGACUUCAUAUUUCAGUUUUAUCAAACACACAAUGUCUCUUCCAAAUGUGGAGAAAAUGCUUAUAUAUGAAGUCAUCAGCACACUAACAGCAACACUUCGAUCAAGAUGUUAUUUUGGAAGUCAAAAAUCAAAAUGAAGAACAUCACUCAUUAGCCAGUUCAGAAGCUUUCAGUUAAAAUAACAUCUUAAUACAUCAUAAGAAGAAGAAAAGAGACAGUGCCAACAAACAGCAAGAAACAACACUUUUCACAAGUGGAAUAAUAUGUUCGCAGUAAGCAGAAAGCAUAAUUUUGCUCCUCUUCUGGGAUCUCAUUUAUAGAAAACUGUCAAUUGCUAAAAAUAGAUGGUCAGCAGCUCGCGAGACAACUCAAUGCUUUCAUUGUAAUGUCAACAAAAAGCCACAUGCGCUGCUGAACCUAUGACACUUGCAUGAAUCCUAAUGUGGUAUGCACACAACAAUUACAAAACUGCACACAGCUGAUAAUUUAAGUGGCGUAUACUCCAGUUGAAGAGUAGGAGUAAUGCAACUAUUGCGUUGGCCUUGCGUUAGGAUUGCAAUUGACAACCCCCACUCAGUAAAGCAUCUAAGUUAAGUUACCCGACACUGUGUAGGAUACCGUAUGUCAGGGAGCCUGCCGACAAGUAGCCUAUCAAGCUUGUUUGUCUGAUGAUCAUAUGAAUAAACAAUUGUAAAGCAACUGGGCUUCUUAUUUGGUAGGUCGGAAAAUAAUAUCUGCCCAGUAGGGAGGCUGCCAACAUAAGCUGUUCCCCUUGCCAAAACUUCUGAAGGCAAGGGAAUGUCAUGCCUGCUCCAGGAUUUACCUUCAUUAAUGUACGAGUGACAAAACACCUAAGAGUUUCAAAAUCAGUGGGAAUCAACAGACCUAUACGUCUCAUGAAUUGUACAAGCUCCCAUCUGUUUCCCUUUAUCCUGAAUAAUGCAUCGUCUGGCAGUUCUAUCAAUUGGAAUUUCUCUAUGUUGAGAUCAAAAGAAAUCAGCCUUCUACAAUCAUCCUCACAAUCAACUACCCAAUACAGGAUCCCACCAACCAAAGGCUCUCACUUGAAAAGAUUUUUCUAUCGAAUUUUAUCAGACGUACAAGUGUUGAGUAAAAGAACUGAAAUUCUACGGGUGCUUCUGUGUCAGGGUUUUCUAGUUGAUCAGAUCUGGCAUCAAUGUAGACUGGGAUGAACAUUGGGAUGCCACCAUGAUAUGAUUGAGCACCAAUACUUUGAAAGGCACUUGCACUUGUGCAGAUUCUUGACCCUUCGAAGCCUUACAAGUAUUUCAAAAACCAAGUCAUCUGAUAACUGCUUCUGUUGUGAGAUUAUUGAGCCAUUUACAGCAGUGCCUUCUGCUGUUUGAUUAGAAUUCUGACGAUUCCUCUCAUCCAUUUUUUGAUCAUCAAGUGUCUGAAUCCAUGAUCUUCUCCUUGGAAUAUGGUCUGCUUCUUCCAGGUGAGCUGAAUCAGGGAUUAUUCCCCAAAUCCGUGGAAAAUACUAAACUUGGAUGUAGGAAGAUAUCCUACAGGAAAGAUAAACAAUCCCACAAAAUAAUACAUCAGUAGCCUUGGACUAAUACAUAUAUGUAGACUGCUAAGAUUUCUAUAGCAUGGUUUCCAAACCAACAAAGGAAUCAAUUAUACAAUCGGACUCCAGCUUCUACAAUUUGGCAACUAUCAAAUAAAAGAAACUUGAUUUAAUUCCUAGGUUUCCAAGAUAGUAAAUAAAGUUCCCCCACAAAUCCUAUCGUUCUCUUCAUAAGAGUUGGAAUCCUUAUUCCUUUAUUAUUUCAUCUACAUUUUCCUGUUUUCUUAUUAUAUCCCAUCUGGUUUAGAUCCUAGAAUAAAAUGUAUAAAGCUACAGCAAAGAAUGUAAACAAAAAAAAAAUCCAAUUUCUAAUAUGAUAUGAUAUGAUGUCUGCGAUUAUUAUUUCGCAGCAUAAGAAACUUGAUUUAAGUUCAACAGCGUCCACUACUUCCUAAUGACCCUCACUGAGCAAAAAAUCUAAUGGGGCAAGAUUUUCCUCUAUAAAAGUUACCCCAACACCUAAAUUUGUAGCAUGACGUAUCUGAGGUGGGCUGCCAACCAACAGCCUCUCAAACCUAUUUUUCUGAUGAUCAUAUGAAUAAAUUGGCACGCAAGCUGACUUCGACUUCUUCUGAUCUAGUAACUUAAGGUUGGAAAACAAUAUUUGGCCGGUGGGAAGAUUGCCAACAAAUACGGCAGUUCUCUCUUCUGAAUCUGAUCCAAGUGGCCAGGGGAUAUAUUGCUUGAUCCAACAUUUGGCGUCAUUACCAUCAUGAUCUAGCAAGUGAACCCCAAAACAGACAUAAUCAGAAUUCAACAGGCCUAGGUGUCCCUUGAACUGCACAAAUUGCCAUUCCUUUGGAUGGACUAAAAAUUUGUAAUCCGGCGGGGGUUGAAUCAGAUCAAACCUGUCUUUCUUGAAGUCAAAAGAAACUAGUCUUGGCUGAUUAUCAAGGCAAUUAACAAUCCAAUACAUUACUCCUUUAACUAAAAGGUACCAAGCAGAGGAAAGGCCUGACCCUUCAGAAGACACGACCUCGUCCAGCUCUGGGGAGUCGACGUCUAGUGCUGCAGAGGAGUCGGCCGAGGAGGGAACUGUCGAGACCACCCCAGGGUUGGAAUGGGUGGUUCCGAGAUCUUAUAUAAUGACGAUCUCGGAACUGAAAUACCCCACAAUGAGGGCGUGCUGGAGCCGGUCGCACCAAAGGAUGUCGCUGAAAUAAACUUCGGCAAGAUGCUAACAGGUGUCGAGCCUGUGCAAUAAAAAAUACCUGCUCGAGAAAAAUAAAUUUUCUGUGUAUAGUAGUGAGCAGGGUCGAAUCCACAGGAACUGGAAAAAAUUCGAUUCUUUUUAAAUUCGAGACACGGGGGAUUUUUUUUAUCAGAUAAAACUAAAAAUAAAUAAUUUAACAAUUUAACUAAAAAUAAUUAAUUAAUUAAUUAAUACAAAUGUAAAUAGCAAUCUAAUAAAUAAUAAAUAAAUUCUAGCCAAGGAUACAACUACGCAAACACAGUCCAUUCAUCCGAUCAUUGAUGCAAAGAAGGUUCACUUAAUUUUAUUAACAGGUUAGUUAUAGUCGCCGAUAAACUCUAACGACCAGCUUUUCCUUAAUUUAUUGAUAACCAAGGUACGGCCGUUGAUUAUCCCUAACCAGGAAAUACUCCUAGGUACGACCAUAGGAAUUAAUUUCCUAAUUGCAUUAAAAACUAUAAAAACCUAACCCAAAUUAAUAACACGCUACGAGGGUUAUUUAAAUCAGAUUGCAUGUUCCCCUAGUAUGUGAAAAUGCUAGUUGUCACUAAUAUUAACCAACUAAACAAUUACGGAUUUAAUUGAUUAAUUUGACAAGAGAUUAAUAAGUCAAAUUGCACAUCGGGCCCUUGAUAUCCAAUUAACAAAAUAAUCCCAUGGAAAUUCAAAUAGAAACAUAUUAACAAAUUAAGGAACACGUAAAAUUAAUUAGAUCUCACAGAUAUUUGGGACUGCAUCUUCGCGUUGAUCCUUGACUAAAUGAGAAAAUUAGCCACUCCUCAUAAGAAAAUUCCCACGCAAUUUAAUUAGAAUCAAAUACAUAAAUAACUAACUAAGAAUUUAGAAAGAAACUUGAGUCUCCGUAGACUCUUUGAAGAAAAGUUUCGCACCACACAACAAGAGAAGGAAGAACUCCUCCUCCGAAAACCAAAAACUACCUCUAUCAUCCUACGGAGCUUCUUUGGAGAGAACUCAAAACUAGUUUUUAUAUAUUCUGCCUUCUCUCAUAGCUUUUUUUUUUAUUUAGCAGAGAUUUGGAUUUGACUGGUAUUUCUUUAAUUUGCUGCUUAUCUUACUGUUGUCUUGAUGAAUAAAUGUGGCAUCUCACUCGUCUAUUGCUGGUUAUGAUUUGUUCUAUGAAUUUAGUUUAAGUGGCAAGUAAACGCAUGUUAUCUUCAUGAAUAUCAUGAGUUUAAUGACUUGGUGCAAAUUGUGGUUAACUUGUUUAGGCAAUAUAAAUAUUUUAUUAGCAAUUGUUGUGUGGAUUGGGCAAUUGUUGAUCUUAGUUCUCCAUAUUAGGAGAUGACGUGGGCCAUGAUCUUUAAUUAUCUGGUAUUCUGGUGCUUUAAUUGUGAUUAAUAAAUGACUCUACUCCGCUAGUGCCGUCACCCAGUAACCGGGAGUCUUCACCACAAGUGUCGACUUUCGCGUCAAAAAGUGGCGAUAUCUAUGAGUAGUUAGUCCUGAAGCUGUGAAAAGUUGAGUAACUGGGCUCUUUUAUCUAAAAAUGUCAGAGUUCACGUCAAAAGACUUGAAUAGCUUGGGACUGAGCAUUUAUUGAAAUUUUUUUUAUUAUUAUCAAAAAAAAAAGAAAAAAAAAGAGAAGAAAAUAAUAAGUAAGCUUAUGAUCAUAUUGGUCUGCCGAUCCUUGUUCUUCAAUGUUGAGAUUUUAAUUUUCAGUUGACCCAAUUGCUAACUUUUGCUAGUUUAAUAUUUUGAUUUCUUAGACGAGUUAGCCAUGAAUUGGACGAGUCUAUGAUUUCAGGAGCUAACCGGGAGAAAUAUGUCUUGACACUUAGCCACUAAAACUUGAUUUUGGGAUAAGCGUAGCUUGGCAGUAAAUGAAAUAAGAGUUAGCCAUUGUUGAGUUUAGUAUUCCCAUACUUGAGGACAAGCAUGAUUUAAGUGUGGGGGGAAUUGAUAGGGUAUUAAUUGUUAGUAAUUUUAUCAUUAAUUCUCCUCUUUAUCCUUGCCAAAUAUUGUUUUAAUUGUCAAUAUAUAUUUAUAUUUGGUAUUUGGAUAUAAUUUCAAGGAAUGGAGCAGAAAACUACUAAAAAGGGGUACUUUCUUGAGAAGAUUAAUCUACACGUGAAAGCUUCUGAAAGCUUCACACAACUAGCCCACAUUGUGCAAACCAAAGGAUUUCCUUCCCUUUCUGCUAAUGAAGAAUUGACUUGAUCUGAUGAAAUUCACUACCAAUAAGAAAUUAAAAGAAAGGAAAUGACCAACAUCUCAAUUAGGCGGGGACCACGUAGAAAGUUUGUUCUUAUUGUGGGAGAUAUACUCAUUAGCCAAGGUGUUGGCUUUGAUGAUUGAGCUUUUCCAAUUUGCUUCUUACGUCACUAGUUUCUAAGAAGCAAAUUGGAAAAGCUCAAUCAUCAAAACCAACACCUUGGCUAAUGAGUAUAUCUCCCGCAAUAAGAACAAACUUUCUACGUGGUCCCCGCCUAAUUGAGAUGUUGGUCAUUUCCUUUCUUUUGAUUUCUUAUUGGUAGUGGAUUUCAUCAGAUCAAGUCAAUUCUUCAUUAGCAGAAAGGGAAGGAAAUCCUUUGGUUUGCACAAUGUGGGCUAGUUGUGUGAAGCUUUCAGAAGCUUUCACGUGUAGAUUAAUCUUCUCAAGAAAGUACCCCUUUUUAGUAGUUUUCUGCUCCAUUCCCUGAAAUUAUAUCCAAAUACCAAAUAUAAAUAUAUAUUGACAAUUAAAACAAUAUUUGGCAAGGAUAAAGAGGAGAAUUAAUGAUAAAAUUACUAACAAUUAAUACCCUAUCAAUUCCCCCCACACUUAAAUCAUGCUUGUCCUCAAGUAUGGGAAUACUAAACUCAACAAUGGCUAACUCUCAUUUCAUUUACUGCCAAGCUACGCUUAUCCCAAAAUCAAGUUUUAGUGGCUAAGUGUCAAGACAUAUUUCUCCCGGUUAGCUCCUGAAAUCAUAGACUCGUCCAAUUCAUGGCUAACUCGUCUAAGAAAUCAAAAUAUUAAACUAGCAAAAGUUAGCAAUUGGGUCAACUGAAAAUUAAAAUCUCAACAUUGAAGAACAAGGAUCGGCAGGCCAACAUGAUCAUAAGCUUACUUAUUAUUUUCUUCUCUUUUUUUUUCUUUUUUUUUUUGAUAAUAAUAAAAAAAAAUUUCAAUAAAUGCUCAGUCCCAAGCUAUUCAAGUCUUUUGACGUGAACUCUGACAUUUUUAGAUAAAAGAGCCCAGUUACUCAACUUUUCACAGCUUCAGGACUAACUACUCAUAGAUAUCGCCACUUUUUGACGCGAAAGUCGACACUUGUGGUGAAGACUCCCGGUUACUGGGUGACGGCACUAGCGGAGUAGAGUCAUUUAUUAAUCACAAUUAAAGCACCAGAAUACCAGAUAAUUAAAGAUCAUGGCCCACGUCAUCUCCUAAUAUGGAGAACUAAGAUCAACAAUUGCCCAAUCCACACAACAAUUGCUAAUAAAAUAUUUAUAUUGCCUAAACAAGUUAACCACAAUUUGCACCAAGUCAUUAAACUCAUGAUAUUCAUGAAGAUAACAUGCGUUUACUUGCCACUUAAACUAAAUUCAUAGAACAAAUCAUAACCAGCAAUAGACGAGUGAGAUGCCACAUUUAUUCAUCAAGACAACAGUAAGAUAAGCAGCAAAUUAAAGAAAUACCAGUCAAAUCCAAAUCUCCCCCCUCACUUAAAGCACACAUUGCCCUCAAUGUGACAAUUAAACAGUAAAAAUAAGAAGAAGGGCAACGAAACUCCCCUGAAGUUGUCAAAACAGCGCGGGUUAGGCGGAAGUUGAGGUUCAACACCCACGUGGUGCAUAAACGCCGCCAAAUUCUGUGCCAUGCUAUGCACAUUAACAUCAAUUUUUGAUACUUGAGCUUCCAAUUUCUGAACUCGCAUCUGGAGUUGGUGCCAGUUAUCAGCCCCCUGGGAUUGGAGGAGGCGGAGCGGAGGUCGAAGGGCCAGGGUCACCGCUAGUAGUGGAGGAACGGGCAAAAGAUGAACGAGGGGGAAUACGAGAUGGUCCCGGCGGUGGAACCUCCCACCCAUUGUCACCCUCCCUAACCAAGCCCAUUUUCUCUAGACAAGGGAUGUCUAAGGGCUCCAUUUGAUAUGCUACAUGCAAAUCAUGGUUAGAGAGAUCAAGCACAUGCAAAUUAACAGCCAAAUGGGUAAUGUAUGAUCCAAAAAUCAAGAGGCGCUUCUUUUUAGUCAAAAUAGACUUGAAUUGAGAAGCUAGCCAGCAGCCCAAAUUAACUUUAAUGUUAUUAUGCAUGCACCAAAUAAAGAAAAACUCCGACUUAGACAAAAUGCCCGAGCUAUCUCGCCUGCCUGAGAAACUAUAAGCCAAGAAACGUUGGAUGUAACGAGAAGCCAGGUCCUUGAGAUAAGAGCUCUUGGACUUUCGGGGGUUGUAAGGAUCAUAGUCUACGGACAUUUCUUUCCAAAUAGAGCUAUAGCGGGAGAAGAAGGGUUCUACGUAGUCACAAGCACUCUCGGCAUACUCACGAGAGUCGGCGUAGGCCCUAUCAAUAAAACCAAAGGCUAGAUUGAAAUCAGUAAUGGAGUGGUGGAAUUCUUGACCCACUAAUCGAAAACGAAUGACAUUGGGGGUGGAGACUGCGUAACCAGUGGAAAUGGUAAACUCAAAUGUGGUAUAGAACUCCCUAACCAAGUCAACAAAUGCCGGACAGUAAACAAUAGAUGUGUAAGGAUGCCACCCUAUGGCAUUAAUCAAGCGGUCAAAGUCAACUGGUAUAUUCAAAAGACUUAAGGUGGCAGCGUCCUGAUAGCGGCAAGGAAUAAUUCGCCGUUCACAACGAAUAGCAUAUCGCUGUUUGUCGGCGGCUCUGGUGAAAUUCAAAUUACCACCAAAAUGUGAAGGGUCAGAAAUAUGGACGCCUCUCUGUCUCCCAAGACGAGCCCUUCUCCCAGAGGAAGAGGAAUCGUGCGAGGGGUCAGAGGCGGGAAUGGUGGGUUGAGGUGGGGGAGGCCUAGAGGUCCUAGGUGUCCUAGACCUAGAAGAGGAUUUGGGUUUCACCAUUUUCUCCAAAUAUCACUCAAAUCAACAACAGACAACAAUUUUCAACAAAAUUUAGAACCAACAAAUUCAAAGCAAUAACAAUUGUAAUAACCACUGUGGCCUCUCUAUUAGUCAAUUUGAGACCCAAUUAAUGCCCACCAAUUCAAUUAAUGCCCGAAAACAAUGCCAAACAAUGCAACAAUUAAAUUUAACGGGCAAAGGACAUCCAACCAAGUUGACUUGAGCAAACUAUAAGUAGUGUUAAUGUCUAAACAAAUCAUCAAAUUUCAGCAAUUAGACAUAAUACUACCCAAAAUCUCAAUAACUGUCUCUAAUUCGACAAUCAAUUUCUCACUCAACUAACCCUAAUAAGCAUCCAAAUCAACAAACAAACGGAGAAAGGAGUUACACACAAGAUCAGAACACAGCUCCCAAUAAUGCAAUAAAACAACAACUCAAGUAAAUCAAAACAACAAAUAUGAGCAAUUGGUCACAAUUCUUCCCAGAAUCUCAACAAAUGUCUCCAAGAAAUGAACUCAAAUUAAUAGCACAGAGGCAGCUCAUUAUUUAAUUGAGUCCACAGAAAUACUUACCUCUUACCCACUGGCGUCGUUGGUGGGUGUCCGUGAGCUGGGUUGGGGAAGCAUGAGAAGAUGCGAGAGCAGGGGUCGUGUGUGAGUAGAGAGGAGAGCUGCGUGCUCGAGGAUGGGGGAUAAAAGGAGCUGCGUGCGGUGAGAGGAGCCUCGUGCGCGCGGGCUAGGUGGGCUGAUGAGCUAGCUCGAUGACUGAUGGGUGGGUAGUGGACAGUGGCCGUGGGGUGGAGCUUGCGAUGUGGUGGUGGCAUGCAGAGGUGGAUGCGUUGGUCGCCGGCUGUGCAGUGGUCAAAAGUUGAGCUUGCGCGGCUGCUUGGUGUUGUUGGUGGAGACUGAAGGAAGAUCUCCACGUGGCUGUGGAGCUGGUUGUGGGUAGAGAGCUGGACUGCCGUGGGUUUCAGGCGGCAGUCGGCUGCGGCUAUGGGCUGGGAGGAGGAGCUGCGCGAAGACUGGAUGAGAGAGAGAGCGACGGUGCGAGGAAGAGAGGAGAGCUAACGGUGUGGGCUGGUGGUGACUCGCGCAAGUGGAGGAGCUUCAGUGGUGAAGCUUGGAAAACGAGGUAGGCGUUGCUCUGGUGGUUGCUUGCGCAGUGAGGAGGAGCUGCGCGGCGAGCUGGUGGAGCUCCAUGAGCUGGUGGUGGGCGCGAGGUGAGAGAGAGAAGAGGAGGCGAGCUGCUGGUGGACGUGGGCUGGUGGUGACUCGCGCAAGUGGAGGUUGCGCAAGGAGAAGAGAGCGAGGCGGAGUGCGCGAGGAAGAAUAAGGAAUCGGGGAAGAAGAAGAAAGAAAAAGGAAAGAUAGGAAAGAAAAGAAAAAGAAAGAAAGAAAAAG